Molecule: ribosomal RNA, 253 nt
Filed under: uncultured bacterium
Lineage: Bacteria
Description: partial 16S ribosomal RNA
Rfam family: Bacterial small subunit ribosomal RNA
Source: RNAcentral
UACGGAGGGAGCUAGCGUUGUUCGGAAUUACUGGGCGUAAAGCGCGCGUAGGUGGCAGUUCAAGUCUGCUGUCAAAGACCGGGGCUCAACCUCGGAAAGGCAGUGGAAACUGAACAGCUAGAGUAUGGUAGGGGCAAAGGGAAUUCCUGGUGUAGCGGUGAAAUGCGUAGAGAUCAGGAAGAACAUCGGUGGCGAAGGCGCUUUGCUGGACCAUAACUGACACUCAGGGACGAAAGCUAGGGGAGCGAAUGGG